This 422-nucleotide small RNA is filed under the name Pan troglodytes (chimpanzee). Its description in RNAcentral is "processed transcript". Lineage: Eukaryota; Metazoa; Chordata; Mammalia; Primates; Hominidae. The record is from RNAcentral.
CGGCCGCCCCUCGGCCCCGGAGCCCCUCGGCGGCGCCACCAUGUACUCGGGAGCCGGCCCCGCACUUGCACCUCCUGCGCCGCCGCCCCCCAUCCAAGGAUAUGCCUUCAAGCCUCCACCUAGACCCGACUUUGGGACCUCCGGGAGAACAAUCAAAUUACAGGCCAAUUUCUUCGAAAUGGACAUCCCCAAAAUUGACAUCUAUCAUUAUGAAUUGGAUAUCAAGCCAGAGAAGUGCCCGAGGAGAGUUAACAGGGAAAUCGUGGAACACAUGGUCCAGCACUUUAAAACACAGAUCUUUGGGGAUCGGAAGCCCGUGUUUGACGGCAGGAAGAAUCUAUACACAGCCAUGCCCCUUCCGAUUGGGAGGGACAAGGUCCAGACACGGAUAUCGAGAACUUGCUGAAACCACCAAACUUUAA